UACAGAGGGGGCAAGCGUUAUUCGGAAUUAUUGGGCGUAAAGGGCGCGUAGGCGGCUUGGCAAGUGGAAGGUGAAAUCCCUCGGCUUAACCGAGGAACUGCCCUCCAAACUGCUUGGCUUGAGACCGGGAGAGGUGAGUGGAAUUCCCAGUGUAGCGGUGAAAUGCGUAGAUAUCAGGAAGAACACCCGUGGCGAAGGCGGCUCUCUGGGACGGUACUGACGCUGAGACGCGAAAGCGUGGGGAGCGAACAGG
This 253-nucleotide ribosomal RNA is filed under the name uncultured bacterium. RNAcentral describes it as "partial 16S ribosomal RNA". It matches the Rfam family "Bacterial small subunit ribosomal RNA", at positions 524 to 776 of the family's 1533-position model. The record is from RNAcentral.